This 680-nucleotide ribosomal RNA is filed under the name Massilia sp. B2138_1. RNAcentral's name for it is "bacterial SSU rRNA". It matches the Rfam family "Bacterial small subunit ribosomal RNA", at positions 84 to 760 of the family's 1533-position model. The record is from RNAcentral. Lineage: Bacteria; Pseudomonadati; Pseudomonadota; Betaproteobacteria; Burkholderiales; Oxalobacteraceae.
CCUGGCGGCGAGUGGCGAACGGGUGAGUAAUAUAUCGGAACGUACCCAGAAGUGGGGGAUAACGUAGCGAAAGUUACGCUAAUACCGCAUACGAUCUACGGAUGAAAGUGGGGGACCUUCGGGCCUCAUGCUUGUGGAGCGGCCGAUAUCUGAUUAGCUAGUUGGUAGGGUAAAGGCCUACCAAGGCGACGAUCAGUAGCUGGUCUGAGAGGACGACCAGCCACACUGGGACUGAGACACGGCCCAGACUCCUACGGGAGGCAGCAGUGGGGAAUUUUGGACAAUGGGCGCAAGCCUGAUCCAGCAAUGCCGCGUGAGUGAAGAAGGCCUUCGGGUUGUAAAGCUCUUUUGUCAGGGAAGAAACGGGAUUGGCUAAUAUCUAGUCCUAAUGACGGUACCUGAAGAAUAAGCACCGGCUAACUACGUGCCAGCAGCCGCGGUAAUACGUAGGGUGCAAGCGUUAAUCGGAAUUACUGGGCGUAAAGCGUGCGCAGGCGGUUUUGUAAGUCUGACGUGAAAGCCCCGGGCUCAACCUGGGAAUUGCGUUGGAGACUGCAAGGCUUGAAUCUGGCAGAGGGGGGUAGAAUUCCACGUGUAGCAGUGAAAUGCGUAGAGAUGUGGAGGAACACCGAUGGCGAAGGCAGCCCCCUGGGUCAAGAUUGACGCUCAUGCACGAAAGC